UCGAAGCAAUCAACCAUUUCUACACUUUCUUUCAUCGACAAAUAAAGAACAACUCAAAGUCUCUCUAUUUUUUUAUUCCAAACCUGAUUUCUUGGCACCUUCAAGUUCAAUUUUUACAGUUCUAUUGUCUUCUAAACAAUAUCUUCCGUAAUCGGCCACACAAAAAAAUCAUUUUUCAUUUCCAACUCCUAUCAUGUUUUUCCUAUUUUCAUCAUUUGGACUUACUUAUGGAGGAUUGCCUAGAGUUUGUCUCAAUGUACUCUCAAUUAAACAUAGAUCAAGAUCAAAUGAAGAUAGACAACGCAACAUGAGGACAGAACCAAGAACAUGAAAAAGAUAACGAGGAACAACUGCCAAAUUAAUUCCAGACAGUAGUAGCCUUGGCUAUUUCAUUUUUAUUGGGUAUCAUUGUGCCAGUUUUUACUGCUGCAUUUAUAGCAAAUUAUAAGGUCAGAUUGGCUGUGAAUGAUGAAUGUGGUUGCAAUGAGCUUGCCAGUUGUCAUUAUUAGCAUUUGGAGGAAUUGGUACUUUUUUAAGCACAAGUCCUAUGGUGAAAUCUUGUCAAAGAGUUUUAAUUGGAGGCAAGAUGGCUAUGGCCAUUACUUGUUGCCUUGCUAAGCUGAUUGGCUCUACUACAAGUAUUUCUUUCUAUUUUGGAUCUACGUGCAGAUGUGGUCCUAAUCGAGAAUGAAAAAGGCGAGAGAAGGAAAAAUCAAAGAAGGAACAACAAAUAACUGUGCCAAAGUAAUGCAUACUUAUUAGUUGAACAUUAAUUAGUUUAUGUAGGAUACAAUCAUCAACACUUGCAGAUUAGUGGAUUACCAACUUGAAUAGAAAGUGUCGAAUUCAGUAUUGUAAAUUGCGGAUGACGAAGUUGAUUUCCUUGUGGUAUUGAAUAAUUCUCACCAUGUGAGCUAACUUUUGAAAUUAAAUUAGAUUAAAAGUUCAUUUUUCUUAUUAUAUAAUGUUUAUAAUUGUAUUAAUAUUUUUAUGGUUCUACUAAUUUAAACUUAUAAAAUGACAUAUACUCUA
Molecule: long non-coding RNA, 1032 nt
Organism: Solanum lycopersicum (tomato)
Lineage: Eukaryota; Viridiplantae; Streptophyta; Magnoliopsida; Solanales; Solanaceae
Source: RefSeq, a predicted model, not a curated record